This 465-nucleotide ribosomal RNA is filed under the name uncultured bacterium. RNAcentral's name for it is "partial 16S ribosomal RNA". It matches the Rfam family "Bacterial small subunit ribosomal RNA", at positions 338 to 795 of the family's 1533-position model. The record is from RNAcentral.
CCUACGGGGGGCAGCAGUGGGGAAUAUUGCGCAAUGGGCGAAAGCCUGACGCAGCGACGCCGCGUGAGGGAUGAAGGUCUUCGGAUCGUAAACCUCUGUCAGCAGGGAAGAACGGUCACUGUGCUAAUCAGCAGUGAAUUGACGGUACCUGCAAAGGAAGCACCGGCUAACUCCGUGCCAGCAGCCGCGGUAAUACGGAGGGUGCGAGCGUUAAUCGGAAUUACUGGGCGUAAAGCGAGCGUAGGCGGUAUGUCAAGUCAAGGGUGAAAUCCCCGGGCUCAACGUGGGAACUGCCUUUGAAACUGGCAGACUGGAGUGUGUGAGAGGAUAGUGGAAUUCGAGGUGUAGGAGUGAAAUCCGUAGAUAUCUGGAGGAACAUCAGUGGCGAAGGCGACUAUCUGGCACAUAACUGACGCUGAGGAGCGAAAGCGUGGGUAGCAAACAGGAUUAGAUACCCGGGUAGUC